Molecule: ribosomal RNA, 800 nt
Filed under: uncultured bacterium
Lineage: Bacteria
Description: bacterial SSU rRNA
Rfam family: Bacterial small subunit ribosomal RNA
Source: RNAcentral
GCUAUAAUUGUCAGCUAAGUGGCGCACGGGUGAGUAAUGUAUAGAUAACCUGCCCUUAAGAAAGGAAUAACAGUUGGAAACGACUGCUAAUGCCCUAUAUGCCUUUAAUACAUAAGUAUGCAAGGGAAACGCUUUAGUGCUUAAGGAUGGGUCUGUAUGGUAUCAGCUUGUUGGUGAGGUAAUGGCUCACCAAGGCUAUGACGCCUAACUGGUUUGAGAGGAUGAUCAGUCACACUGGAACUGAGACACGGUCCAGACUCCUACGGGAGGCAGCAGUGGGGAAUAUUGCACAAUGGACGAAAGUCUGAUGCAGCAACGCCGCGUGGAGGAUGACACAUUUCGGUGCGUAAACUCCUUUUAUAUAGGAAGAUAAUGACGGUACUAUAUGAAUAAGCACCGGCUAACUCCGUGCCAGCAGCCGCGGUAAUACGGAGGGUGCAAGCGUUACUCGGAAUCACUGGGCGUAAAGAGCGUGUAGGCGGGUAUAUAAGUCAGAAGUGAAAUCCAAUAGCUCAACUAUUGAACUGCUUUUGAAACUGUAUACCUAGAAUGUGGGAGAGGUAGAUGGAAUUUCUGGUGUAGGGGUAAAAUCCGUAGAGAUCAGAAGGAAUACCGAUUGCGAAGGCGAUCUACUGGAACAUUAUUGACGCUGAGACGCGAAAGCGUGGGGAGCAAACAGGAUUAGAUACCCUGGUAGUCCACGCCCUAAACGAUGUACACUAGUUGUUGUGAGGCUCGACCUUGCAGUAAUGCAGUUAACACAUUAAGUGUACCGCCUGGGGAGUACGGUCGCAAGAUUA